RNAcentral lists this long non-coding RNA (231 nucleotides) under Lathyrus oleraceus (garden pea). RNAcentral describes it as "Pisum sativum (pea) long non-coding RNA (PSAT_LNC020814)". The record is from RNAcentral. Lineage: Eukaryota; Viridiplantae; Streptophyta; Magnoliopsida; Fabales; Fabaceae.
AAGAUUUGGACUCCUGGCAUUUUUCUCUUCAAAUUAGUGUAUGUAUUUUUUAUUUUAGUGAAGGUUGAUGGUGGACCAGUCCGGUGAGAUCCACCGGUGAAGAUGACUGGAGCCUUAGCUCCGGUGGUGUGUUGGCACUCUCCUAUCCCUUUGAUCAUGUUUAAACAUUUUAAUCCUGACCUUUGGUUUGCAUGACUAUGUUUGCAGCGUGUUUGACUAGUGUGUUUGGUG